UUUGUAAUCUGGCUCUUUUAUAAGAGUCCGAGUUGUAAUUUUGAGAACUGUUUUCUGUGCUGGACCAUGUACAAGUCUGUUGGAAAACAGCAUCAUUGAGGGUGAUAAUCCCGUACAUGAUAUGGACUACCAGUGCAAUAUGAUACAGUCUCUAAGAGUCGAGUUGUUUGGGAAUGCAGCUCAAAGUGGGUGGUAAAUUCCAUCUAAGGCUAAAUAUAGGUGAGAGACCGAUAGCAAACAAGUACCGUGAGGGAAAGAUGAAAAGAACUUUGGAAAGAGAGUUAACAGUACGUGAAAUUGUUAAAAGGGAAACAUUUGAAGUUAGACUUGUUAUUAUUGGUUCAGCUUCUUUUUUUAAUUAGGAGUCUAUUCCAAUGGUUGACAGACCAGCAUCAAUUUUUGAGUGUUAGAUAAGGGUCUUGAGAAUGUGGCAACUUUGGUUGUGUUAUAGCUCUUGGCUUGAUAUAAUGCUUAGGAUUGAGGAACGCAGUGAGCUUUUUAUUAAGUGGAUUCUUUUUUUUUGAAUCUUCAUCACUACGGAUGUUGGUGUAAUAGCUUUAAAUGAC
RNAcentral lists this ribosomal RNA (566 nucleotides) under Coleosporium sp. AM-2013. Its description in RNAcentral is "eukaryotic LSU rRNA". It matches the Rfam family "Eukaryotic large subunit ribosomal RNA", at positions 114 to 648 of the family's 3401-position model. The record is from RNAcentral. Lineage: Eukaryota; Fungi; Basidiomycota; Pucciniomycetes; Pucciniales; Coleosporiaceae.